GCGUGUAGGCGGUCAGGUAAGUGGAAUGUGAAAUGCCCCGGCUCACCCGGGGACCGGCAUCCCAAACUGCCUGGCUUGAGUAUGGGAGAGGAUGGAGGAAUUCCUGGUGUAGCGGUGAAAUGCGUAGAUAUCAGGAGGAACACCGGUGGCGAAGGCGUCCAUCUGGCCCAAUACUGACGCUGAGGCGCGAAAGCUAGGGGAGCAAACG
RNAcentral lists this ribosomal RNA (208 nucleotides) under uncultured Latescibacterota bacterium. RNAcentral's name for it is "uncultured Latescibacteria bacterium partial 16S ribosomal RNA". It matches the Rfam family "Bacterial small subunit ribosomal RNA", at positions 567 to 774 of the family's 1533-position model. The record is from RNAcentral. Lineage: Bacteria; Pseudomonadati; Candidatus Latescibacterota.